RNAcentral lists this ribosomal RNA (409 nucleotides) under uncultured bacterium. Its description in RNAcentral is "bacterial SSU rRNA". It matches the Rfam family "Bacterial small subunit ribosomal RNA", at positions 29 to 486 of the family's 1533-position model. The record is from RNAcentral.
AACGAACGCUGGCGGCAUGCCUAACACAUGCAAGUCGAACGAGACCUUCGGGUCUAGUGGCGCACGGGUGCGUAACGCGUGGGAAUCUGCCCUUGGGUUCGGAAUAACAGCGAGAAAUUGCUGCUAAUACCGGAUGAUGACGUAAGUCCAAAGAUUUAUCGCCCAAGGAUGAGCCCGCGUAGGAUUAGCUAGUUGGUGAGGUAAAGGCUCACCAAGGCGACGAUCCUUAGCUGGUCUGAGAGGAUGAUCAGCCACACUGGGACUGAGACACGGCCCAGACUCCUACGGGAGGCAGCAGUGGGGAAUAUUGGACAAUGGCGAAAGCCUGAUCCAGCAAUGCCGCGUGAGUGAUGAAGGCCUUAGGGUUGUAAAGCUCUUUACCCGGAUGAUAAUGACAGUACCGGGAGAA